RNAcentral lists this ribosomal RNA (359 nucleotides) under uncultured bacterium. Its description in RNAcentral is "partial 16S ribosomal RNA". It matches the Rfam family "Bacterial small subunit ribosomal RNA", at positions 338 to 695 of the family's 1533-position model. The record is from RNAcentral.
CCUACGGGAGGCAGCAGUGAGGAAUAUUGGUCAAUGGGCGGGAGCCUGAACCAGCCAAGCCGCGUGAGGGAAGAAGGUACAGCGUAUCGUAAACCUCUUUUGUCAGGGAACAAAGGCGGGGACUAGUCCCCGGAUGAGGGUACCUGAAGAAAAAGCAUCGGCUAACUCCGUGCCAGCAGCCGCGGUAAUACGGAGGAUGCGAGCGUUAUCCGGAUUUAGUGGGUUUAAAGGGUGCGCAGGCGGCGUGUUAAGUCAGCGGGACAAGCCCGGGGAUCAACCCCGGCGAGCCGUUGAAACUGGCGGGCUGGAGUGGGAGAGAAGUAGGCGGAAUGCGGGGUGUAGCGGUGAAAUGCUUAGAU